UUUAAAAAUUUCAGUUGUUGCAUCAAAGCAGGCCGUGAUGUUUCAGGUCUCUUAAUGAGGAAGUAACCUGCCUGAUCUCCAAGGAGUAAAUUGCAUCUCAGAAGGAAACAAUCUCAGGAAACAUUAGUUCACUAAACAUAUGAAUCGGUCUGCUGGAUUUGAGGGUGAGAUGAGUCACUCAACUCCAGAAACGUUUUUUCUUUUACUGACAGAAGCAACAGUUUAAAGUUGAAGAGCUUUAAUCAUGGGUUUGUUUCUUGGACUAGAUGGACUAGCAUCAUGUAGAUUAUUGUGAUGUUUUUAUCAGCUGUUUGGACUCUCAUUCUGAUGUCACCCAUUCACUGCAGGGGAUCCACUGGUUAGCAAGAGAUGUAUUUCUACAUUUCUCCAAAUCUAUUCCACUGAAGAAAUAAACUCUACAUCUUGGAUAACCUGUGGGGCCAGUGAGGGAAAGAGAGUUUCAGUGGAGGAAAUCCUGCCAUCAUCUGAGACCCAGUCCCCCAUGAGAAAUGAUUCCUGGCACGCUUGCUGGGACCAGAGGCUGGAGAUAUAUGCUCAUACUGUAAUUACGGGAUGUAUGGAGCAUGACCUGUCAGACUGAGGGAAGUGCCUUGAUCGCUCCUUCAUCCUUCUCUCUUUCUCUCCGCACUGAUGUGUGUCCACAGCCCACUCUUGAACCAUCUGGAGGAGUGUGUGUGUUGUAUUGAGGAUGACAGGAGCUCUGACUCUCGCUGUGGGUCACUGUCAGACAGGCAGCAGGUGUUACGCAGAUUCUCCAGCCACACGAAUCCACAUUCUCAUGCAUGUUUACUCAUUUGAUCAACAUUCAUGGUCACUUGCUGAUUCAAAUUCUGAAUAUUAAAAUCAGGCCGCAAAAAGUCAUAGGUCAUAAUGUGUUUUUUUAUAAAUUAUAUCAAUUUUAGGAGUCAUUAAAAAUUCUAAAAAUGAAAACCACUUACAAUGUUAAUCAGUAAUUCAUAAUUUAGUUUUACAUCAGCACUUUGCACUCUUUCUCUGCCCCUUACAUUUAAAUUGGCCUUUUUUUGGCUGCUGUGCCUUUUAGACUUCUAUACAAAUGCCCUUUUCACAUGUGAAAUGAGCAACCACGCUCUGCUGUCGGAUCCAAUAUAGUGUUUAACUGCUCCAUCCUUCAAUAACAAGCUCUUUGCAAAGCCUGAAAUUACAUUGUGACGCUCGAACUGUUAAGGUCACACGGAUGUGACUAUUUCAGGGUUAAAUUUAAAAAUACUCUGUUUCGAAACAUCAGGGAAAAUUUGAUAAUGACCCCUUUAACCCUACUGCAUUAUAUUUGAUACACAUUUCUAAGGCCUCUAAAUGAUGAACAUGAUCAUUUCUUCAAAGAUGCUUUCUGUCGUCUGAUUGAUAAAUUUAUACUUUUUAACAAGUAAAAAGCCUUUUAGUAUAAUUUAACAAACGUGCAUCUUCAGCUCGUGCUCCAUGUGUCUACUGACUUUUAUCAAGUAAACAUAAGAAUAACUUUGAUAUUGUUACUAGUAUUUCAAGAUAAACAUUGGACUGAGGAGACUUAGCUUUUGCUUAUUCACUCAUCAUUUUUUAGAAAAUAUUAAAAUGCAAUUAUCAAAUAUGAUCAUUCAGGCUUUUGAGGAAUGUCUGUUUGCUCAUCUCUCAAUGUGUUUUCAUAAAAAAAAAUUGGCAUUUCAAUAUUCUUACUAAGAAUAAGAUAUAGAUUGACAACUAAUAUUUCUGUAAUUUUAUGUAAGGUAUCUGCUAUACUGUUUUCUCAUUGACUUACAUAACAAGCUUUCAAUAUUUUAUCCUGCUUUUUGUCUAUAUAAAUAUCAGCAUCUGCAUCAAACUGCAAGUUUUGCUCAGUUUGUGCCUCUGAAUAAAACUGAGCUGUUUUCCCUCCAUAUUGUCACUAUGUCAUACUAUAUGAACCAUAAAUGAACUAUAUGAACCACCUGGUGCAUCAAAUAUGAUACUCAACAAAAAUCACAUAUGCAUGCUCUAUUUAUAUAUAUAUAUAUAUAUAUAUAUAUAUAUAAAUCCAUUAUAUAUAUAAUCCAUUCCCACAGUGAACCUUGAAAUUAAUGCAUUCAGUACCAAAGAAUCUGUUCUGAUCUGAAGUGUAAUCAAUUCUACUAACCUUUAUAACCAUAAAUCUAUAAAUCAAAUCACUUUGAUUCAUGACUGUUCGUAUUGCAUCAUGAUGUGGGUUUGGUGAGUGGAGUCACGUUCAUUGUUCAUGAUUAGUGAGCUUUAACAAAUUUUUGGAAAGGUUUUGGAAGCAGUCUAUACAUUAGUAAAGAGAGAGAGAACUCAGACAGGCUCCUGAAAAAAUAUUACGCACAAUUGAACAGGUUAUGCUUUUUAUAUACACUAGUGUGAUUGCCAAGAAAAAUUCUUUUGUAUUUGACAAUGAUAAAUUACAUUUAGUCUGAUUAGUGCGGCACAAGCUGAAUAUUUUGUCCAUGUAUGGGACAGUGUGACUGCAGAAUCGACUGGGCUUUAAGAUUCAUUUGAGACUUCAUUUUAUUUGUGUGGGUUUUUUUCUUCAUCAGGCUUUUGAAGAAUGUUUAUUUGUUCAUCUCUUAAUCAUCA
Long non-coding RNA from Cyprinus carpio (common carp), 2583 nucleotides. RefSeq lists it as uncharacterized. The record is from RefSeq and is a predicted model, not a curated record. The transcript has 3 exons. Lineage: Eukaryota; Metazoa; Chordata; Actinopteri; Cypriniformes; Cyprinidae.